RNAcentral lists this ribosomal RNA (334 nucleotides) under uncultured eukaryote. Its description in RNAcentral is "partial 18S ribosomal RNA". It matches the Rfam family "Eukaryotic small subunit ribosomal RNA", at positions 1470 to 1796 of the family's 1831-position model. The record is from RNAcentral.
CCCUUAGAUGUCCGGGGCCGCACGCGCGCUACACUGAAGGAAUCAGCGUGGCUUUCUCCCUGACCCGAAAGGGUUGGGAAACCCGUUGAAUCUCCUUCGUGAUAGGGAUUGGGGCUUGAAAUUGUUCCCCAUGAACGAGGAAUUCCCAGUAAGCGCGAGUCAUAAGCUCGCGUUGAUUACGUCCCUGCCCUUUGUACACACCGCCCGUCGUUACUACCGAUUGAACGGUUUAGUGAGGGCCUCGGAUUGGUCUCGGCCCGCUCUUUACCGGGCGGCGCCGUUGGUCGAGAAGACGCUCGAACUUGAUCGUUUAGAGGAAGUAAAAGUCGUAACA